This 428-nucleotide ribosomal RNA is filed under the name Brevibacterium oceani. Its description in RNAcentral is "bacterial SSU rRNA". It matches the Rfam family "Bacterial small subunit ribosomal RNA", at positions 35 to 460 of the family's 1533-position model. The record is from RNAcentral. Lineage: Bacteria; Bacillati; Actinomycetota; Actinomycetes; Micrococcales; Brevibacteriaceae.
GCUGGCUGCGUGCUUAACACAUGCAAGUCGAACGCUGAAGCCCGAAGCUUGCUUCGGGUGGAUGAGUGGCGAACGGGUGAGUAACACGUGAGUAACCUGCCCCUGAUUUCGGGAUAAGCCUGGGAAACUGGGUCUAAUACCGGAUACGACCACCNNACGCAUGNNGGNUGGUGGAAAGUUUUUCGAUCGGGGAUGGGCUCGCGGCCUAUCAGCUUGUUGGUGGGGUAAUGGCCUACCAAGGCGACGACGGGUAGCCGGCCUGAGAGGGCGACCGGCCACACUGGGACUGAGACACGGCCCAGACUCCUACGGGAGGCAGCAGUGGGGAAUAUUGCACAAUGGGGGAAACCCUGAUGCAGCGACGCAGCGUGCGGGAUGACGGNCUUCGGGUUGUAAANCGCUUUCAGCAGGGAAGAAGCCGUAAGGUG